AAGUUUUUCUCUACACUUUCUCUCUAGUUGUUUUUCUCUAAAAGCUUUUGACAUUUGUGCUGCUUGGCGGAGCCGGGAAGCUUGCUUAGUAGCUGACGGAGUGAGUUGCUAAGGGGCCACACGGUAACUUCAAUAGAAUGAAGUUGACCUGUGACACGUGGCAAUUCCAACGGAGACAGAACUUGUGCCUCUAAAACAAGAGAACCCUGUAAGCCGGCCUGCUGGAUUUAGCAAGCCGAUGGGAGGUAUCUCCAAAGAGAGAAUGGAUGCCUCUAGACCUGUAAUCCGAGUGAAGGCUGAACUCAUGCCUGUUAAACAAGAAAGUUUCAUCUAUAUGAACAGAAAUCCCCUCAACCCCAACAUGUUGCACUGGAUAGUGGAGGGAACAGGGGAAUAGAGGAUUUUGGCGCAGAGGAUUUGAAGACGUGGAUGUCAUGCACCGUAACACCUACAUUCAACCUUCUCCCUGUCCCGGGAAGGACAUAACUGAUUCGACUGGUGAACCAUAG
Molecule: long non-coding RNA, 509 nt
Organism: Andrographis paniculata
Lineage: Eukaryota; Viridiplantae; Streptophyta; Magnoliopsida; Lamiales; Acanthaceae
Exons: 3
Source: RefSeq, a predicted model, not a curated record